AGCAGCCGCGGUAAUUCCAGCUCCAAUAGCGUAUAUUAAAGUUGUUGCAGUUAAAAGCUCGUAGUUGAACUUCGGGAUCAGUACGCUGGUCAUGCCUUUGGUAUGCACUGGUGUCACUGGUUUCUCCCUUCUGAAGAACCGUGAUGUCAUUAAUUUGGUGUCGCGGGGAAUCAGGACUGUUACUUUGAAAAAUUAGAGUGUUUAAAGCAGGCUCACGCUUGAAUACAUUAGCAUGGAAUAAUGAAAUAGGACGUUUGACCCUAUUUUGUUGGUUUCUAGGAUCGACGUAAUGAUUAAUAGGGAUAGUUGGGGCAUUAGUAUUCAAUUGUCAGAGGUGAAAUUCUUGGAUUUAUUGAAGACUAACUACUGCGAAAGCAUUUGCCAAGGAUGUUUCAUUAACCAAGAACGAAAGUUAGGGAUCGAAGACGAUCAGAUACCGUCGUAGUCUUAACCAUAAACUAUGCCGACUAGGGAUCGGAUGAUG
RNAcentral lists this ribosomal RNA (484 nucleotides) under uncultured Glomus. Its description in RNAcentral is "SSU rRNA". It matches the Rfam family "Eukaryotic small subunit ribosomal RNA", at positions 569 to 1062 of the family's 1831-position model. Lineage: Eukaryota; Fungi; Glomeromycota; Glomeromycetes; Glomerales; Glomeraceae. The record is from RNAcentral.